RNAcentral lists this transfer RNA (72 nucleotides) under Diaphorina citri (Asian citrus psyllid). It matches the Rfam family "tRNA". Rfam says of the family: Transfer RNA (tRNA) molecules are approximately 80 nucleotides in length. The record is from Rfam by way of RNAcentral. Lineage: Eukaryota; Metazoa; Arthropoda; Insecta; Hemiptera; Psyllidae.
GUCUUGGUGGCGUAGUGGUCAAGGUGCUUGCCUGGAAAACGGGAGGGCGUGGGUUCGAUCCCAGCCAAGGCA